GACGAACGCUGGCGGCGUGCCUAAUACAUGCAAGUAGAACGCACAGUUUAUACCGUAGCUUGCUACACCAUAGACUGUGAGUUGCGAACGGGUGAGUAACGCGUAGGUAACCUGCCUGGUAGCGGGGGAUAACUAUUGGAAACGAUAGCUAAUACCGCAUAAUAUUGAUUAUUGCAUGAUAAUUGAUUGAAAGAUGCUAUUGCAUCACUACCAGAUGGACCUGCGUUGUAUUAGCUAGUAGGUGAGGUAACGGCUCACCUAGGCGACGAUACAUAGCCGACCUGAGAGGGUGAUCGGCCACACUGGGACUGAGACACGGCCCAGACUCCUACGGGAGGCAGCAGUAGGGAAUCUUCGGCAAUGGACGAAAGUCUGACCGAGCAACGCCGCGUGAGUGGAGAAGGUUUUCGGAUCGUAAAGCUCUGUUGUAAGAGAAGAACGGGUGUGAGAGUGGAAAGUUCACACUGUGACGGUAUCUUACCAGAAAGGGACGGCUAACUACGUG
This 505-nucleotide ribosomal RNA is filed under the name uncultured bacterium. Its description in RNAcentral is "partial 16S ribosomal RNA". It matches the Rfam family "Bacterial small subunit ribosomal RNA", at positions 28 to 507 of the family's 1533-position model. The record is from RNAcentral.